GGUGCUAUAGUCUAGGGGUAGGACGUGACAUUGUGGAGAUCACAAAAUCAGCUGUCAAAACCCGUGUUCGAAUCACGGUGGCGCCA
This 86-nucleotide transfer RNA is filed under the name Parastagonospora nodorum SN15. RNAcentral's name for it is "Phaeosphaeria nodorum SN15 tRNA-His for anticodon GUG". It matches the Rfam family "tRNA". From Rfam's summary of the family: Transfer RNA (tRNA) molecules are approximately 80 nucleotides in length. Their secondary structure includes four short double-helical elements and three loops (D, anti-codon, and T loops). The record is from RNAcentral. Lineage: Eukaryota; Fungi; Ascomycota; Dothideomycetes; Pleosporales; Phaeosphaeriaceae.